This 435-nucleotide unclassified non-coding RNA is filed under the name Diplacus pulchellus. RNAcentral describes it as "partial external transcribed spacer". The record is from RNAcentral. Lineage: Eukaryota; Viridiplantae; Streptophyta; Magnoliopsida; Lamiales; Phrymaceae.
AUCGGCGCGUGUGGGCAUGUCGGAUCCCUGCUUGGGCAGCGACGGCGUGCCGCACGUGCCUCCUCAGUCUGUGUUGGUUCAAGAGCGCACAUGCCUUGGCCGAAGUUGGUUUUCUGUGUUUCAUACCCGUUGUGAAGGCACUCAUUGUCCCAAAUGUCCCUCUUCCGUCGUGCGCCGCGCCCCUUCGGGGUCGUGGUGUGGGGCGGACUGCGAAGCACCCGCCGAGUUCCGCUUGCAUGCGCCCAAAAGGGCGCGUGUUCGUCGGCACCCGGCGACGUGCUCGAUCUCUUGGAUGCGGAAUAUCGUGUGGGCACGUGGCCCCCGGCCACUAUCUGCCCCUAAACAAGCGUUUCACGCUUCGUGCGAACGACUGCCGCCCCCGUCUCGUCCGAGCCCUUGCGGCUCGUUCCGUGCGGGGAUGGCGUCGGUGAGGAA